Molecule: ribosomal RNA, 254 nt
Filed under: uncultured bacterium
Lineage: Bacteria
Description: partial 16S ribosomal RNA
Rfam family: Bacterial small subunit ribosomal RNA
Source: RNAcentral
UACGAAGGGGGCUAGCGUUGCUCGGAAUCACUGGGCGUAAAGCGCACGUAGGCGGAUCUUUAAGUCAGGGGUGAAAUCCUGGAGCUCAACUCCAGAACUGCCUUUGAUACUGGGGAUCUCGAGUCCGGGAGAGGUGAGUGGAACUCCGAGUGUAGAGGUGAAAUUCGUAGAUAUUGGGAAGAACACCGGUGGCGAAGGCGGCUCUCUGGACCGAGACUGACGCUGAGGCGCGAAAGCGUGGGGAGCAAACAGGG